Long non-coding RNA from Phasianus colchicus (ring-necked pheasant), 7124 nucleotides. RefSeq lists it as uncharacterized. The record is from RefSeq and is a predicted model, not a curated record. Lineage: Eukaryota; Metazoa; Chordata; Aves; Galliformes; Phasianidae.
CGGGCAGCGCGCACGCGCGAGGGGGAGCGCGCGUCCAUCCCUCACGCGCCUCUACCGCGGAGCGCGAGCCGGGGGGAACGCGCCCGUCGCCGGUCUCUAUGGUAAGGCGGGGCGGCGGUGAGAUCAGCGCGCGCAGUGCGCAUGCGCAAGGCCGGCGUUCUAGCGGCGGCCGCGGAGGGCCGGAGUCGGAACGACCCCGCCGCGGUGCCGCAUCCACUUCCGGAGCGGCGGGCCCCGUUUCGGCGGGAGGGAGCUCGCCCCGCCCCCGCGGCCGUUACACGGGGCCCUGCCCCGCCGCCCUGCCCGGUUGCCGCGGCGACGGCGCCUGCGCGGUGCGCGAUGUGCGGGGCUCCCCGUGGGCGCGGUCCCGCCCCGCGCCCUCCGAACGCGGCUCCGCACGGCCGGAGCGGCUCUCAAAGAGACUGAAUUCUCCUGACAGAAUCAGAUCAGUAUCUCAAAAAGAUGUCUCCAGAGUUAUUGCUAGAUAACGGCAUGCUUUUCCUGCCAGUCCUUGACCAUUCCAAGUGAAGGAAACAGCAGUGCCUCGUCCAGAGGAGCUAUGAACAGCACGUGCUUGACAAGGGCUUCAGCUAGUGGUUUAACAGCAGACAGGACUAGCACAGCACAAAGGCAGCAACAUCCACCAACAAAGCAGCACGGAUUUUUCUCACCCACCUGCAAAAUGCACCACUUCCAGCUUGCUGAGAAGAGUUCUGUUCUGUGCUAAGGAGGGCUCUUUUGCACAACGUCUGCACAGGAAUCCGAGGGCUGAGCGCUCCAAGGUGAAACAUUCAUUUACAAGUAACAUGAGGAUACUUUGCUGCCCAUGAGAGCACAGGACUGGAGCCAAAGCCUGGCUGGCCCUGGGUUGUUUUCCUAGAGUUGAACAUACACUCAUGCAGACUUGGAAAGCCACAUUUCUUUUAUGUGCUGUCACAGCUCCACUGCUUGCAUAAAUAAGGGAUGGCACAACUUUGCCCGAUUCUUUAACUCUGGAUCUUUCCCUUUGCCCUAACCCUGGCAAUAACAUCUCAUGCACUGUUCACCUGAACGCACCCAUGCUGUGCUAAGGAAAAGGCAGCGCUGCUCUUGGCACAAGGAUAAAUAGCACAGACUAAUGCAAAGUGCUGACCAAGCUUCCGAGUGGUCUCUAUUUGCUCUAGCAACAUCCCUGGGCAACUCACCUUCUCUACUCCUCGCCUCUGAAACAGGGAACAAACUCCUUGCUUGUACCUUGACAGAACACUUGAAACAGAGAAAGCACUACCUAGCCUGGAUCAGUUACAAAUGUAGUAAUUCCUCAUUCUUUCCCUUGCAAGACAGUUGUCAUAGCUCCAGAUUUGAGCACUUUCAGCUCAGACAAUAUGCUACCUUUAAUUGGUUCUUUCCUGCCAAGCCUUAGUGUUCUGCAUCAGGCUCUUUCCACGUGAGAGCUGCCACUAACAAAACAGCACGCUGACCCACUUAGCUCCCAUGCAAAGGCACAUGAAGCUGUGCUUCAGUCACCAAACAGAAAGGAAAAUCUGAUAGCAGUAGGCUUUGAUUAAAGGGAAGUGAGCAAAUGGCUUCGAGGCUAACAGUGUGUAUGUGGGCACAUCUGUGUGUGCCUACAAGCUCACAGUAAUUUGGCCACCCAAGGAGAAAGAUCCCACAUAAAGGUCACCCCCACACAGUGUGAACUGAGUUUGAUUCAAGAUUUCCCAUUGGCAACGAGGUCCCACAGGCCAUGCACACAUCUCCUGGGCCUCCUGCAUUGACCUGCAGCCCCUGGAGGCAGACAAUGGUCACCUGGCCACAACAUCAAGGCAGCGUUAAUUGUGGUGCUUUUAUGUUUUGUAACUCAAGCUGAAACCCCCCAAAAACUGGCUGUUGGCUACUGGAAAGCUGGUGCUUCCAACCCUUUCUGACCUGAGAUGGACUGAAUGCAGCGGCCUGGGAGACAAAUGGUGUCUCGCCUUGGACAGCCAUAGGCAGUGGGUCUCGUGGUUGUGUUGCAAUGUACGUGUGCCCCUGCUCUUCCUGGCAGCCCUCAGGCCUCUGGGAAAACACAUUUACAGGUCAAACUAACAAGCAUUCUAUUUUUGUCUUACAUUUAAAUUGACAUUCAACAACAUUUCAGCCCCAUUUCCUCUUCCGUCAUAACAUCCCAUUUACACAUUCAGAUGGAUUUUUCCCUUCCUGUUCUUGUUCUGUUUCAUCAUCUGCUGUUUUCAUUUUACCUUUUUUUCCAUCAUCCAAACAUUUAUAAUUACGCUCACAUCUCCUGUUUUAUACAUACACAUCACACACCACGUACCUUACCAGCAUGGAUCUCUUUAAUCUUUGAAAAACAUUUCCUUUUUAUCCUCACCCAAAUAUUAAACCAACUGGAAAGUGACAUAUCAAGGUUAGGAAUGCAGCUUGCUCUUGACAAGGGAAAAACGCUGAGCUUUGCAAGAGGCUAAAUAAGUGGAUUAAGAUCCUUUCUAAAGAUUAGCUCACCCUUCACCCCAAAUGCAGAUUUCUACUGAAAUUAAUGGAUGCUCUUAUAAAAUUCAGUAGGAGGGCUGACAUUGAACAACAGCACAGCACACACAUACUGGCAGCCCACUCAGAACUGAGUGUCCAAAUCACCGACUGCAAAUGGCCCUUAACAACCAAUGGAUUGAAUGUCUGUCGUGUAUUGACACAGCAGGAUUUCAUCUUGUAAAAUUACAAACCAGUGGAAAAAAAAAUGAGCCAGGAGUUCAGGACCAAAACAAGGGCUGCAAUUCAUCUGACAUGACUGCACUGACAUUACACCAGAGGAUAAGGUUUGCCUUAGGAGUGUGUAUACUGCCUUUAAACUGAGGACUUUCACUUGUACAGCUCCCUCCUGCCCUGUCAGAGCCCUGCAGCUCCAGCAACUGCAAACUUGGAUCCUUUGCUUCCAGGAAACAAUUCAGUAGAGUACCCUUGAAACAUCACCCAAUUAAUAAACCACAGAACAUCAUACUUUACAUAGGAAACCUGAGGGAAAUGCUUUAUAGCUUUGUUUCACAUUUCCUCUGCCCAUCCUGCAGGCUCAGCCUGGCAUCUGGAGUCACACUGUUCUUUUUCCAGCUCUCCCAACAGAAAUCCAAAUCCUGCCAGCAGCAAAGCAGCUGUGCUGCUGCUGUCCUGGUACAGACCACGCUCACUCCCCCUGAUGCUGCUGCCUUCUGCAGGGCAUGCUGACAACAGCACCAUGACAGAGGCACUGCCCAUUUUAAAGAAACAGAACCACACACAAGCCAGGGGAACGGGCAGCAGUGUCCAACUGCAGAGCAGUCUGAGCCCCAGGUCAGUACCUGCUCACCACCAAGCCCUCAUCUCAGCCAGCACCAGAACAAUGCAAAGGAAGGAACAGAGCACUUCCAACUCACUGAAAAACGUUCUUCACCUGUGCCUCUGAGAUACUGCCAAGGCUCCAGCAAGCAGAUGCUGUGCUGACAUCCAGCUUUGAACAUCUGGAUGGUGCUCCACAGCUCCUGCUCCCCACCUGCUUCAUUGGUUGCCUCUCUCAAAUAACAGACAGAACUGCUUGUGUUCUUGUUUUUCCCCCAUCUCUUGCAAAGAUGUUUUCUGCUGCACAUCCCAUUUCCACCCCUGCAUUAUUCAGUACACUGGAGCUUUAAUGUGAAUCUGCACACAAUGGAACUGUUUGCAGUAAAGCAGCCCAAGGGUUGAAGAAAACCAUAAACCAGCAUUUUCCUCUCUGAUUAGAGCCCACUGCUGUGCAGGAACCCCCUCACAACAUAUCCUUUCCCAGCAUAUGAGAUCCACAUAGCUACUGGCCACAGGAACUCAGCUGUGUAAGUAAUCCACAGCUCCCAGGACAGCUAAGCAGCUCUGUCCCUGACACGUGCUUAAUUAAUGCUGGGUGUGAAGCAAUGAGAGGCCUCACCAUCCCCACACACGAGAAAAUGUCUCACUUCAGCAGUUCUCACUGCUGCAGCAAACCGCUUCCUGGGCUCUGACAGCUGCUGCCCCCAGGCAGGAGGGACAUGCCUGGGUUAGCAAUGUCAGGCAGAAUCGUGGCACAGGAUCCUUCUCACCACAUUCCCACCUUCUCCAUUCCAAGCAGUUUAGACUGGUCUCCAUGCAUCCUCAGCCAAAAUGGUGCAGACUGUCAGCGCCUGGAGUUGGAUGUUUCAUGGGGUUAGGCUGGAAACUCUGUAAUCCAAAUAGGAUGCAUUUGAAUGGCUUAUUGGACAAUAAGGGAAUCUGGUGUAAGAGGACCCGUAGGUGCUCCUAGAACACAUCUGACAGCGACUGCAUCCCACACGCUUCUGGUUACCCUCCCUGCAAUACCUUGCCCAGGAUCAGGGAUUUGCACAGCACACGGCACAAACAGCCCUGCCCAGACUCCUGCAUCACACAGGCAGAACGCGGACCAAACAGCUCAGCACAGACAGCUGGGAGAGGGAGAAGUUGCCAGAACCCCCCACCCCUGUUGGUACUUUACAUGGAGAGUAGGAUGCCACCUCUCAGAGCCACAUUCUUCCCCUGCACUAUGAACUAUUUGCAAACUGCUUUUAACCUUGUUCCUUGGGGCUGCAGACAUUUAAAAGCCAGGCAAGCAAGCAAACAGGCUAGUUAGUGGCAAGAACAAGUCACUUGCCCAGCCUGCUCUCCUCGCUUGGGGCUCACAGGCAGGCACUGCCAUCCAGACCAUCCAUUCCUAGCACACUGCUCAUGCACUGUGAGACCUGGGGGCCCUAUUCCACAUCUAACAGGUGAUAAAAACAAUUCCAUUUAAUUUCUUAAAUUUCUAGCAAUCUAACACUGCCAAGUUCAGACACACCUUUUUCUCCAGACUGGCUUCAUCAUUGCUAUCUUCCCUCUAUUUUUCAGCUAACUCUGCCUUUUUUUCCUUCUUUUACUUCCAAUGUUUCACAUACUGGGGAACACUGUGUACUCCUAAGCUGCAUUCCCCUUCCCGCAAAGUAGAGGAAGCUUAAUGAGUGUAAAUGAGUACGCUUUGCUAAAGAGCAUCUGUAUUUCUAAAGCUUGAAAAUGGUACUAGGUACCAAGUCCAGAAAGUUUCUCAUUACAGAAAGGCAGAGAGCUUGCAAGCUGUGCCUUGAAAACAAAAUCCCCAGCACACCUUGCAUCACUGUAAGAACAGUGCAUGCCCUAAAUCCAGGAGCUUUAUGAACCAACGACUGGAGAGCUGAGAAAAGAAGAUCAGUGCACGGACUGAAGCAUAACUCAUGACACAGCACGUCUGUUCAUUUGCUACGGAAAAUAUGUUUGGCAAGUAUCAGGUGUCUGAAUUUCUGCUUAUGCGCAUCUCCCAGGACAGCAGUAUAUUAAUAACUCAGGCAGCCUAAAAACAGAAACUGUCACCAAGAAAACUUACCCUUCUGCUGAGAGCUCCCUGCUUAGUGACUGUUACUCAAACGGUACAGAUUUUUGUUUCCUUAUUUUAAGAGUCACCAUCUAAGUCAAUCUCAAUUCAAAAACCAAUAAGAAAGGAAAAUUACAGCAGGAAGCAGAUCUUAUUAUAAACACAGUUUUCAGGAAUGUCUUCUUCCUAUCAAGACUUGUGCUGCCACACAAACAUGAAGAAAGCAGAAACCAGGACCCUAGUUCAGAUACACAAACCUUUCCAAGAGAUCCACAGAAGCAUGCAAGUAAUGCUCUGGAAGCUCGUGCAACCAGACAAGCAUGACAGGCAGUAUGAAAAGAAGCCACAGAGUCCAGCAGGGAAAAAAGCAGCAAGCACACAGAGGCUUCCAGGCAUGGGCAGACCUGGCACUGGGAGGAGCAGAAGAGAAAGCAGCACAAAUUUAAAAGGCAGGGUAGGGAGUGGGACACAUGGGAAGGAGUUACUCAACAAAAGUGAAACUAUACUGUAUAAGUUACAUUGUCUUAAGAGCAGCUUUAACUGAAGAGCCUUGGCAGAAGUAAUAUUAAUGGUGGUGGCACCAAAGGAAUGGGAAUAUUUAAGAUUCAUCUCAGACUUCUCCUGUAUUCUUAAGUCAUUUUAGAGGUGCAUCAGGCACACCAAUGCAGGUCACUCCAAAGUACUUGGGUUAGAUCAGUUUCUCUGUAAAUGUGGGAGGUCAAUUCCCAGAACUUACAUUGCUUUCCAGAGCAGUGUGUCCCACACAGCUGCAGUGCUGCCCUCCUCUGUCAGGCUGCGUUCAAGGGACCUGGCUGAGUGCAUCACACUGCUAACAGCCAUCUCUACUUCCACAACACAAAGUUUAAAAACAUGCAUUUUAAAAGAAAACUGUUCAUUCUGGGCAGAUACAUUUUAUUUUUCUUCUGUUGCUCUCUGUUGUACGAAGUCUUGUAGUAACCUUUUCCAGUGCUGCUUAUCUGUUCCUAACGCACUCAAAGUGCGUUGGUAUUUCUGCCAACCACGGCGGUCACAUUAAUUAAUCUCAAAGCACACUCCAAACCUUAACUACAAGUUCUACGGGUCUAAGGUGUAAACACUGCCUGUUUCACAUCAACAAGUAGAAGCACCCACCCCAAAAAACAGCCAACAGUGGCUGACGGUGAUCAUCAGGCUCAGUGGAACUCCACUGCAUGCCUAAAGUGACAAGUGAUUGAUAUGAAGACAAAACUCACCCAAAAACUCACCCAACUGUUGGCUUCCCCAACAGUUCCCCAACAGCAAAGGAAAGUGAUUUGAGUCACAGAGAGAAUGUCAUUAUAAUCACAUCUACCGCCAUCUCUUCUCACCUUCCUGAACCCUUUCCAAAUCCUCUGGCCACUCCACAUUGUGGCAAAGGGUGACGUUCCCAGCACUGCUGAAAGCAGGACUUAAAGCCAAUGGCUUGCUGGGGCAGCAUGGUGUCCUGUUUCUGCCCAAGACAGCUCUGGGAAAACCUGACUGAUCACCAACAAGAUGAAAUUCAAGGAUUGUCUUUCUUGGGGAAAAAACAACACCCUCUCCCCUUCUAUUUGUGUAAUUACGUGAGAAUUCACAUACAGCACAGACUUUCAGUUAAACAGAAGCACUACCAAAGCCAAUGUAACUAAGAACAGUUAAAAACUGUAUUUUAAGUCAUCAUUAAUAAGUAUAAAAUACAAAUGCCAUCAGCAGGCUCAGCAUGGACAGCCUAACAUUUCCUUUCAAAUCUGUGUGUGCUAGAGACAAAUUACAGAAU